GCGAAAGCAGGUCAUAGUGAUCCGGUGGUUCUGAAUGGAAGGGCCAUCGCUCAACGGAUAAAAGGUACUCCGGGGAUAACAGGCUGAUACCGCCCAAGAGUUCAUAUCGACGGCGGCGUUUGGCACCUCGAUGUCGGCUCAUCACAUCCUGGGGCUGAAGUAGGUCCCAAGGGUAUGGCUGUUCGCCAUUUAAAGUGGUACGCGAGCUGGGUUUAGAACGUCGUGAGACAGUUCGGUCCCUAUCUGCCGUGGGCGCUGGAGAAUUGAGGGGGGCUGCUCCUAGUACGAGAGGACCGGAGUGGACGCAUCACUGGUGUUCGGGUUGUCAUGCCAAUGGCACUGCCCGGUAGCUAAAUGCGGAAGAGAUAAGUGCUGAAAGCAUCUAAGCACGAAACUUGCCCCGAGAUGAGUUCUCCCUGAGACUUUAAGUCUCCUGAAG
Molecule: ribosomal RNA, 439 nt
Filed under: Klebsiella pneumoniae
Lineage: Bacteria; Pseudomonadati; Pseudomonadota; Gammaproteobacteria; Enterobacterales; Enterobacteriaceae
Description: partial 23S ribosomal RNA
Rfam family: Bacterial large subunit ribosomal RNA
Source: RNAcentral